GCAAGAUUAAAACUCAAAGGAAUAGACGGGGACCCGCACAAGCGGUGGAGCAUGUGGUUUAAUUCGACGAUACGCGAAGAACCUUACCUGGCCUUGACAUAGACAGAAGUUUGCAGAGACGCAGAUGUGCUAGUUUACUAGAACUGUCAUACAGGUGCUGCACGGCUGUCGUCAGCUCGUGUCGUGAGAUGUUGGGUUAAGUCCCGCAACGAGCGCAACCCUCGUGUUUAGUUACUAACAGUUCGGCUGAGGACUCUAAACAGACUGCCUGGGUAACCAGGAGGAAGGUGAGGACGACGUCAAGUCAUCAUGGCCCUUACGGCCAGGGCUACACGCGUGCUACAAUGGGGUAUACAAAGAGCUGCAAUACGGUGACGUGGAGCAAAUCUCAUAAAAUAUCUCCCAGUUCGGAUUGAAGUCUGCAACUCGACUUCAUGAAGUUGGAAUCGCUAGUAAUCGUAGAUCAGCAAUGCUACGGUGAAUACGUUCCCGGGUCUUGUACUCACCGCCCGUCACACCAUGGGAAUUGAAUUCAUUCGAAGCGGGGAUGCUAAAAUAGCUACCUUCCACAGUGGAUUUAGUAACUAGGGUGAAGUCGUAACAAGGUA
This 608-nucleotide ribosomal RNA is filed under the name uncultured bacterium. RNAcentral describes it as "bacterial SSU rRNA". It matches the Rfam family "Bacterial small subunit ribosomal RNA", at positions 888 to 1498 of the family's 1533-position model. The record is from RNAcentral.